AUGCAACAAAUAUCCGAACAUCGCGGCACACCCAAAAACAGGGGCGCCGCACAUCCCCAAUGUUUCACCGGCGAGGUGCUGGACCAUGAAUUUCCAGCGGGAUUCAAGCCCGUAAACAUAGAGGCAUACGACGGAACAACAGAUAAUGGAGUCUGGAUUGAGGAUUAUAUCCUCCACAUACACAAGGCUAGAGGAGAUGACCUCCACGCCAUAAAAUACUUACCCCUCAAGCUCAAGGGGCCAGCCCGGCAUUGGCUCAAAAGCCUUCCCAAAAACACCAUAGGAAGUUGGGAAGAGCUCGAAGAUGCUUUUCGGGCAAAUUUUCAAGGGACCUAUGUC
RNAcentral lists this ribosomal RNA (339 nucleotides) under Triticum aestivum (bread wheat). Its description in RNAcentral is "partial small subunit ribosomal RNA". Lineage: Eukaryota; Viridiplantae; Streptophyta; Magnoliopsida; Poales; Poaceae. The record is from RNAcentral.